Molecule: ribosomal RNA, 468 nt
Filed under: uncultured bacterium
Lineage: Bacteria
Description: partial 16S ribosomal RNA
Rfam family: Bacterial small subunit ribosomal RNA
Source: RNAcentral
GACGAACGCUGGCGGCGUGCUUAACACAUGCAAGUCGAACGGAAAGGCCCUGCUUUCGUGGGGUGCUCGAGUGGCGAACGGGUGAGUAACACGUGAGUAACCUGCCCUUGACUUUGGGAUAACUUCAGGUAACUGGGGCUAAUACCGGAUAGGAGCUCCUGCUGCAUGGUGGGGGUGGGAAAGUUUCGGCGGUUGGGGAUGGACUCGCGGCUUAUCAGCUUGUUGGUGGGGUAGUGGCUUACCAAGGCUUUGACGGGUAGCCGGCCUGAGAGGGUGACCGGCCACAUUGGGACUGAGAUACGGCCCAGACUCCUACGGGAGGCAGCAGUGGGGAAUAUUGCACAAUGGGCGGAAGCCUGAUGCAGCAACGCCGCGUGCGGGAUGACGGCCUUCGGGUUGUAAACCGCUUUCGCCUGUGACGAAGCGUGAGUGACGGUAAUGGGUAAAGAAGCACCGGCUAACUACGUG